This 23-nucleotide non-coding RNA is filed under the name Cricetulus griseus (Chinese hamster). Lineage: Eukaryota; Metazoa; Chordata; Mammalia; Rodentia; Cricetidae. The record is from RNAcentral.
CAAAGGCUGCUUAUUUGAAUCUG